GGGUCGUUAGCUCAGUUGGUAGAGAAGUUGACUUUUAAUCAAUUGGUCGCAGGUUCGAAUCCUGCACGACCCACCA
RNAcentral lists this transfer RNA (76 nucleotides) under Escherichia coli. Its description in RNAcentral is "tRNA-Lys". It matches the Rfam family "tRNA". From Rfam's summary of the family: Transfer RNA (tRNA) molecules are approximately 80 nucleotides in length. Their secondary structure includes four short double-helical elements and three loops (D, anti-codon, and T loops). The record is from RNAcentral. RNAcentral also lists the same sequence under 3 other names. Lineage: Bacteria; Pseudomonadati; Pseudomonadota; Gammaproteobacteria; Enterobacterales; Enterobacteriaceae.